RNAcentral lists this ribosomal RNA (253 nucleotides) under uncultured bacterium. Its description in RNAcentral is "partial 16S ribosomal RNA". It matches the Rfam family "Bacterial small subunit ribosomal RNA", at positions 524 to 776 of the family's 1533-position model. The record is from RNAcentral.
UACAGAGGGUGCGAGCGUUAAUCGGAAUUACUGGGCGUAAAGCGCACGUAGGUGGCGACGUAAGUCGGGUGUGAAAGCCCCGGGCUCAACCUGGGAAUUGCAUUCGAGACUGCAUUGCUGGAGUACGGAAGAGGAAGGCGGAAUUCCCGGUGUAGCGGUGAAAUGCGUAGAUAUCAGGAGGAACACCGGUGGCGAAGGCGGCCUUCUGGACGAUGACUGACGCUGAGACACGAAAGCGUGGGGAGCAAACAGG